AUGAUCCUCGGCGACCAUAAUGGAUCAAUCAUUUUUUCCUCAUGCCGGUUCCUCACUACAUGUGUUAGUGCUUUGGAAGCAGAGAUGGCUGCAUGUAUGGAAGGGAUCGCUCUCACCCUAGAGUGGAGUACUAUGCCGUUCAUUCUAGAAACUGAUAGUAGUGUUGCAGCUAACAUGGUCAAGGAGGAGAAGGAGAACAGGUCACCAGUCGCUGCUCUCGUCGGCGAAACCAAACGACUCCUUGCUCUGGGCCGGGAGCAUGUGAUAUUGCAUGUUAGUAGAGAUCUUAAUAAAGUGAGUCAUUACCUAGCUCAGAUAGGUCACUCUACCCCUAAAACUGCAGUUUGGCUGUGAUGUGGACCUGAUGAAAUUGGCAACCUUUGCCAACAGGAUUGUAACAAUCUUCCCUGA
Molecule: ribosomal RNA, 411 nt
Filed under: Triticum aestivum (bread wheat)
Lineage: Eukaryota; Viridiplantae; Streptophyta; Magnoliopsida; Poales; Poaceae
Description: partial small subunit ribosomal RNA
Source: RNAcentral